GCUACCAUGCAAGUCGAGGGGCAGCAUGAACUUAGCUUGCUAAGUUUGAUGGCGACCNGCGCACGGGUGAGUAACACGUAUCCAACCUGCCGAUGACUCGGGGAUAGCCUUUCGAAAGAAAGAUUAAUACCCGAUGGCAUAGUUCUUCCGCAUGGUAGAACUAUUAAAGAAUUUCGGUCAUCGAUGGGGAUGCGUUCCAUUAGGUUGUUGGCGGGGUAACGGCCCACCAAGCCUUCGAUGGAUAGGGGUUCUGAGAGGAAGGUCCCCCACAUUGGAACUGAGACACGGUCCAAACUCCUACGGGAGGCAGCAGUGAGGAAUAUUGGUCAAUGGACGAGAGUCUGAACCAGCCAAGUAGCGUGAAGGAUGACUGCCCUAUGGGUUGUAAACUUCUUUUAUACGGGAAUAAAGUGAGGCACGUGUGCCUUUUUGUAUGUACCGUAUGAAUAAGGAUCGGCUAACUCCGUGCCAGCAGCCGCGGUAAUACGGAGGAUCCGAGCGUUAUCCGGAUUUAUUGGGUUUAAAGGGAGCGUAGGCGGACGCUUAAGUCAGUUGUGAAAGUUUGCGGCUCAACCGUAAAAUUGCAGUUGAUACUGGGUGUCUUGAGUACAGUAGAGGCAGGCGGAAUUCGUGGUGUAGCGGUGAAAUGCUUAGAUAUCACGAAGAACUCCGAUUGCGAAGGCAGCCUGCUGGACUGUAACUGACGCUGAUGCUCGAAAGUGUGGGUAUCAAACAGGAUUAGAUACCCUGGUAGUCCACACAGUAAACGAUGAAUACUCGCUGUUUGCGAUAUACAGUAAGCGGCCAAGCGAAAGCGUUAAGUAUUCCACCUGGGGAGUACGCCGGCAACGGUGAAACUCAAAGGAAUUGACGGGGGGCCCGCACAAGCGGAGGAACAUGUGGUUUAAUUCGAUGAUACGCGAGGAACCUUACCCGGGCUUGAAAUUGCAACUGAAUGAUGUGGAGAC
Molecule: ribosomal RNA, 968 nt
Filed under: uncultured Bacteroides sp.
Lineage: Bacteria; Pseudomonadati; Bacteroidota; Bacteroidia; Bacteroidales; Bacteroidaceae
Description: bacterial SSU rRNA
Rfam family: Bacterial small subunit ribosomal RNA
Source: RNAcentral